RNAcentral lists this ribosomal RNA (902 nucleotides) under Neopestalotiopsis sp. 20 SSNM-2014. Its description in RNAcentral is "LSU rRNA". It matches the Rfam family "Eukaryotic large subunit ribosomal RNA", at positions 41 to 968 of the family's 3401-position model. Lineage: Eukaryota; Fungi; Ascomycota; Sordariomycetes; Amphisphaeriales; Sporocadaceae. The record is from RNAcentral.
UAUCAAUAAGCGGAGGAAAAGAAACCAACAGGGAUUGCCUUAGUAACGGCGAGUGAAGCGGCAACAGCUCAAAUUUGAAAUCUGGCCCUUGGGUCCGAAUUGUAAUUUGUAGAGGAUGAUUUUGGUGCGGUAUCUUCCGAGUUCCUUGGAACAGGACGCCUUAGAGGGUGAGAGCCCCGUACGGUUGAAUGCCUAGCCUCUGUAAAUCUCCUUCGACGAGUCGAGUAGUUUGGGAAUGCUGCUCUAAAUGGGAGGUAAAUUUCUUCUAAAGCUAAAUAUUGGCCAGAGACCGAUAGCGCACAAGUAGAGUGAUCGAAAGAUGAAAAGCACUUUGAAAAGAGGGUUAAAUAGCACGUGAAAUUGUUGAAAGGGAAGGAUUUGUGACCAGACUUUUUCUGGGCGGAUCAUCCGGGGUUCUCUCCGGUGCACUUCGCCCAGUAAAGGCCAGCAUCGGUUUUCGGCGUGGGAUAAAAGCAGUAGGAAUGUGGCUCUCUACGGGGAGUGUUAUAGCCUAUUGUAUAAUACCGCGCUGGGGACCGAGGUUCGCGCUUCUGCAAGGAUGCUGGCGUAAUGGUUAUCAAUCACCCGUCUUGAAACACGGACCAAGGAGUCGAACAUUUGUGCGAGUGUUUGGGUGUUAAACCCUCACGCGUAAUGAAAGUGAACGGAGGUGAGAGCCCUUACGGGUGCAUCAUCGACCGAUCCUGAAGUUUUCGGAUGGAUUUGAGUAAGAGCAUAACUGUUCGGACCCGAAAGAUGGUGAACUAUGCGUGGAUAGGGUGAAGCCAGAGGAAACUCUGGUGGAGGCUCGCAGCGGUUCUGACGUGCAAAUCGAUCGUCAAAUCUGCGCAUGGGGGCGAAAGACUAAUCGAACCAUCUAGUAGCUGGUUACCGCCGAAGUU